GACGAACGCUGGCGGCGUGCUUAAUACAUGCAAGUCGAACGAAGUGGCGAUCGGGUGUGUAAUACUUGGGUAACCUGCACUCCUUUUUGGGUUAAGCCUUGGAAACGGGGUCUAAUAUCGAAUAAAGGGGGAUGGGCUGGCGGCCUAUCGGCUUGUUGGUGGGGUGAUGGCCUACCAAGGCGGUGACGGGUAGCCGGCCUGAGGGGGUGACCGGCCACAUUGGGACUGGGAUACGGCCCAGAGUCCUACGGGAAGCAGCAGUGGGGGAUAUUGCACAAUGGGCGAAAGCCUGAUGCAGCGAAGCCGAGUGGGGGAUGAAGGCGUUCGGGUUGUAAGCCUGUGUCGCAAUCGAACGGGUAAGUGGAGAAAAAGCGCCGGCUAACUACGUGCCAGCAGCCGCGGUAAUAC
Molecule: ribosomal RNA, 408 nt
Filed under: uncultured bacterium
Lineage: Bacteria
Description: partial 16S ribosomal RNA
Rfam family: Bacterial small subunit ribosomal RNA
Source: RNAcentral